Molecule: ribosomal RNA, 1515 nt
Filed under: Triticum aestivum (bread wheat)
Lineage: Eukaryota; Viridiplantae; Streptophyta; Magnoliopsida; Poales; Poaceae
Description: partial small subunit ribosomal RNA
Source: RNAcentral
AUGGCGAAUUCCAUGGUGCCAACGCUGCUACAUCGCCUGGUUCUCGUGUUGCUCCUCCUGCUGCUGCCUGUCCUUAAUUCCGGGCAAGCCGAGGGCUGCGCCACGCCUGCAGCAGCAGCACGCCGCGGCACUUCGCUGAGAUCCCAAGCUGGGGCACUUCUCCACUGGAAAUCAUCCGUCAAGUACUCGUCCAAGCACCAGCUGGGAACCUGGGGAGACGAUGGCAUGUACCCGUGCAACUGGACCGGCAUCACCUGCGGGGACACUCUGUCACGCAGAGGAACCAUGGGGAAGGUCAUCACAGGAAUUUCCCUUGAUGGCGCCGGCAUUGCAGGGCGACUGGACAAACUGAGAUUCCAGUCGCUCCCUUACCUUGUCAACCUCGAUCUCAGUGACAACUACCAUCUCUCCGGUGCCAUCCCUCCAGGCAUCGGCUCUCUUUCCAUGCUUUCCACCCUCAACUUCUCUGGUGAUCAGCUCAGCGGGCACAUACCUGCAUCAUUCUGCAACCUUGGACAGCUCACAGGGAUGGACCUCUCCAGCAACAAUCUCACCGGACAAAUCCCUCCUGCUUUAGCAGGUGUGAUUGCCUUUAUGAUUUGCCGCAAGAAAGUACCUCAAAAUACUGAUGUCGUGCGCAAAAGGGAUGUGUUCUCUGUAUGGAGCUUUGAUGGCAGAAUAGCAUUUGAAGAUAUUAUCAAUGCAACUGACAAUUUCGAUAAGAAACAUUGCAUUGGAGAGGGAUCAUACGGCAGUGUUUAUAAAGCAGAACUUCAAGAUGAACAAGUGGUCGCAGUAAAGAAACUCCAUGCAGGCGAUGAAGAGGCACAUGAUGAAGAAAGAUUCCGGCAUGAGAUUCAAAUGUUAACAACAAUUCGCCAACGCAGCAUCGUCAAGCUAUAUGGAUAUUGUUCUCAUCCGCGGUUCCGGUUCCUUGUGUGCCAGUAUAUAGAGAGAGGAAAUCUAGCUUCAACCUUAAGAAAUGAAGAACUAGCAAUCCAGUUCCACUGGCAAAGGAGGACAGCUUUAAUAAGAGAUCUGGCUCAAGCCAUCGCUUACCUCCAUCAUGAUGUUCACCCACCCAUAAUUCAUCGAGACAUCACAAGCAGAAACAUCUUACUAGAUACUGAUUUCAAAGCAUUUGUCUUGGACUUCGGUAUUGCAAGAAUGUUAAAACCUGAUUCGUCAAACUGGAGUGCACUAGCAGGGACCCACGGCUACAUAGCACCUGAAUGUUCCUACACUUCCCUAAUUACAGAGAAAUGUGAUGUAUAUAGCUUUGGCGUUGUGGUGCUUGAGGUGUUGAUGGGCAAACACCCUGGAGAUUUGCAGGCUUUUCAUUCUUCACUCGAGGACCAGUUUCUACUGGAAGAAAUUUUGGACAAACGACUUCCACAACCCGAAGCUGGAGAGGAAGAAGUGAGACGGUGCAUCUCUGUGGCAUUUGAGUGCCUAACUCCUUCACCCAAAGAAAGGCCAACUAUGCUGAAAGUUUAUCGAGAUCUUUCCAUCUGA